AGAGUUUGAUCAUGGCUCAGGAUAAACGCUGGCGGCGUGCCUAACACAUGCAAGUCGAACGAUCCCGCAAGGGAGAGUGGCGGAAGGGUGAGUAACACGUGGGAAAUCUACCUCCUCGCAGGGAACAACCUCUCGAAAGAGAGGCUAAUACCCAAAAGGGUCAGAAAUGAUCAGAGUCGAAAGGCGUGAGGAGAGGAGCCCGCGGCCCAUCAGCUAGUUGGUGAGGUAAUGGCUUACCAAGGCUACGACGGGUAGGGGAUCUGAGAGGAUGUCCCCCACACUGGAACUGAAACACGGUCCAGACGCCUACGGGUGGCAGCAGUGAGGAAUAUUGGACAAUGGGCGAAAGCCCGAUCCAGCAACGCCGCGUGGAGGAUGAAGGCCUUCGGGUCGUAAACUUCUUUAGAGGGAGACGAGAAAGGACGGUAUCCCUAGAAUAAGCGACGGCAAACUACGUG
RNAcentral lists this ribosomal RNA (458 nucleotides) under uncultured bacterium. RNAcentral's name for it is "bacterial SSU rRNA". It matches the Rfam family "Bacterial small subunit ribosomal RNA", at positions 8 to 507 of the family's 1533-position model. The record is from RNAcentral.